GAUGAACGCUGGCGGCGUGCCUAAUACAUGCAAGUCGAGCGAACGGGCGAGAAGCUUGCUUCUCUGAUGUUAGCGGCGGACGGGUGAGUAACACGUGGAUAACCUACCUAUAAGACUGGGAUAACUUCGGGAAACCGGAGCUAAUACCGGAUAAUAUUUUGAACCGCAUGGUUCAAAAGUGAAAGACGGUCUUGCUGUCACUUAUAGAUGGAUCCGCGCUGCAUUAGCUAGUUGGUAAGGUAACGGCUUACCAAGGCAACGAUGCAUAGCCGACCUGAGAGGGUGAUCGGCCACACUGGAACUGAGACACGGUCCAGACUCCUACGGGAGGCAGCAGUAGGGAAUCUUCCGCAGUGGGCGAAAGCCUGACGGAGCAACGCCGCGUGAGUGAUGAAGGCCUUCGGAUCGUAAAACUCUGUUAUUAGGGAAGAACAUAUGUGUAAGUAACUGUGCACAUCUUGACGGUACCUAAUCAGAAAGCCACGGCUAACUACGUG
Molecule: ribosomal RNA, 497 nt
Filed under: uncultured bacterium
Lineage: Bacteria
Description: partial 16S ribosomal RNA
Rfam family: Bacterial small subunit ribosomal RNA
Source: RNAcentral